CAAUAGCGUAUAUUAAAGUUGUUGCAGUUAAAAAGCUCGUAGUUGAAUUUCGGGUCCCCGCGCUCGGCGCUUCAUUGUGCCGUCGUGGUGUCCCUCCUCGCCGUAAGGCGUCCUUACUGUGAAAAAAUUAGAGUGUUCAAAGCAGGCAAUCGCUUGAAUACAUUAGCAUGGAAUAAUAAGAUAGGAUCUUGUCUAUUUUGUUGGUUGCGGACAACGAUAAUGAUUAAUAGGGAUAGUUGGGGGUGUCCGUAUUGAGCUGUCAGAGGUGAAAUUCUUGGAUUUGCUCAAGACGAACUACUGCGAAAGCAUUCACCAAGGAUGUUUUCAUUAA
This 331-nucleotide ribosomal RNA is filed under the name uncultured eukaryote. Its description in RNAcentral is "partial 18S ribosomal RNA". It matches the Rfam family "Eukaryotic small subunit ribosomal RNA", at positions 592 to 976 of the family's 1831-position model. The record is from RNAcentral.